This 75-nucleotide transfer RNA is filed under the name Caudoviricetes sp. Its description in RNAcentral is "tRNA-Pro". It matches the Rfam family "tRNA". From Rfam's summary of the family: Transfer RNA (tRNA) molecules are approximately 80 nucleotides in length. Lineage: Duplodnaviria; Heunggongvirae; Uroviricota; Caudoviricetes. The record is from RNAcentral. RNAcentral also lists the same sequence under 1 other name.
CUCCGUGUAGCUCAGCCUGGUCAGAGUAUGCCGUUUGGGGCGGUGGGGUCGAAAGUUCGAAUCUUUCUACGGAGA